AACGAACGCUGGCGGCGUGCCUAACACAUGCAAGUCGAGCGAGACCUUCGGGUCUAGUGGCGCACGGGUGCGUAACGCGUGGGAACCUGCCCUUAGGUUCGGAAUAACUCCCCGAAAGGGGUGCUAAUACCGGAUAAUGUCUUCGGACCAAAGAUUUAUCGCCUUUGGAUGGGCCCGCGUUGGAUUAGCUAGUUGGUAGGGUAAAAGCCUACCAAGGCGACGAUCCAUAGCUGGUCUGAGAGGAUGAUCAGCCACACUGGGACUGAGACACGGCCCAGACUCCUACGGGAGGCAGCAGUGGGGAAUAUUGGACAAUGGGCGAAAGCCUGAUCCAGCAAUGCCGCGUGAGUGAUGAAGGCCUUAGGGUUGUAAAGCUCUUUUACCCGGGAUGAUAAUGACAGUACCGGGAGAAUAAGCUCCGGCUAACUCCGUG
This 433-nucleotide ribosomal RNA is filed under the name uncultured bacterium. RNAcentral's name for it is "partial 16S ribosomal RNA". It matches the Rfam family "Bacterial small subunit ribosomal RNA", at positions 29 to 507 of the family's 1533-position model. The record is from RNAcentral.